RNAcentral lists this ribosomal RNA (468 nucleotides) under uncultured bacterium. RNAcentral describes it as "partial 16S ribosomal RNA". It matches the Rfam family "Bacterial small subunit ribosomal RNA", at positions 28 to 507 of the family's 1533-position model. The record is from RNAcentral.
GACGAACGCUGGCGGCGUGCUUAACACAUGCAAGUCGAACGGAAAGACCCUGCUUUUGUGGGGUGCUCGAGUGGCGAACGGGUGAGUAACACGUGAGUAACCUGCCCUUGACUUUGGGAUAACUUCAGGAAACUGGGGCUAAUACCGGAUAGGAGCUCCUGCUGCAUGGUGGGGGUUGGAAAGUUUCGGCGGUUGGGGAUGGACUCGCGGCUUAUCAGCUUGUUGGUGGGGUAGUGGCUUACCAAGGCUUUGACGGGUAGCCGGCCUGAGAGGGUGACCGGCCACAUUGGGACUGCGGUACGGCCCAGACUCCUACGGGAGGCAGCAGUGGGGAAUAUUGCACAAUGGGCGGAAGCCUGAUGCAGCAACGCCGCGUGCGGGAUGACGGCCUUCGGGUUGUAAACCGCUUUCGCCUGUGACGAAGCGUGAGUGACGGUAAUGGGUAAAGAAGCACCGGCUAACUACGUG